AGUGGUCAACAUGAAGUCUGAAAGAGGAAAAAAAUACUUAUGUACACUGGCACAUUGCUUUGCAAAGGAUAUUCAUUAAACUCUUCAUCCUGACAAGUUUCAGUAUCAGAGUGACCAUAUGUCAAGGACGGCAUACUGUCAGCAGUCGAGGCAAGGGCAUUUUCUUGCCUAGCAGUUUACUUUUGACAUAAAGAAAGCAAACUCCAUGUGGCAUAGAAUGUCCAUCUGCAAUUCACUUCAACUGCUAAGUGUUGACCACUGGGCAAAACUGCCUUUCAUCUAAACUGAAGAUCACCAGACAGUGGACAGAAUCACUGGAAUUGACAGCCUAGCUGCUCAGGUCAAGUAAAUGGAGACCAUCACAGAAAACCACAAUUGGAUACAAUGCAGGAAUCAACAGAUUGUGGAAAGAUCAGCCUCAAUGGAUACAUCUACAUCACAGCUCCUGCACCUGUGGCUCAGAGAAAA
Arvicola amphibius (Eurasian water vole) is the source of this 468-nucleotide long non-coding RNA. RefSeq lists it as uncharacterized. The record is from RefSeq and is a predicted model, not a curated record. NCBI's taxonomy places the organism in Eukaryota, Metazoa, Chordata, Mammalia, Rodentia, Cricetidae. The transcript is spliced from 3 exons.